GCCUACGGGGGGCAGCAGUGGGGAAUAUUGGACAAUGGGCGAAAGCCUGAUCCAGCAACGCCGCGUGAGGGAUGACGGCCUUCGGGUUGUAAACCUCUUUCACCUAUGACGAAGCGCAAGUGACGGUAGUAGGAGAAGAAGCACCGGCCAACUACGUGCCAGCAGCCGCGGUAAUACGUAGGGUGCGAGCGUUGUCCGGAAUUAUUGGGCGUAAAGGGCUCGUAGGCGGUCUGUCGCGUCGGGAGUGAAAACACGGGGCUUAACCCCGUGCCUGCUUCCGAUACGGGCAGACUAGAGGUAUGCAGGGGAGAACGGAAUUCCUGGUGUAGCGGUGAAAUGCGCAGAUAUCAGGAGGAACACCGGUGGCGAAGGCGGUUCUCUGGGCAUUACCUGACGCUGAGGAGCGAAAGUGUGGGGAGCGAACAGGAUUAGAUACCCUGGUAGG
RNAcentral lists this ribosomal RNA (445 nucleotides) under uncultured bacterium. RNAcentral describes it as "bacterial SSU rRNA". It matches the Rfam family "Bacterial small subunit ribosomal RNA", at positions 337 to 794 of the family's 1533-position model. The record is from RNAcentral.